Molecule: ribosomal RNA, 598 nt
Filed under: Neogloboquadrina dutertrei
Lineage: Eukaryota; Foraminifera; Rotaliida; Globorotaliidae
Description: SSU rRNA
Rfam family: Eukaryotic small subunit ribosomal RNA (bases 1-445)
Source: RNAcentral
UCUUAGUUCGUGGAGUGAUCUGUCUGCUUAAUUGCGUUUCACUAAGGGCCCAUAAAUUCAAGGUAUGUUAGCUAUCGUUUCUCAAUUGACCCCUUGUCUUCGAUAAGCGCGUGUCUUUUAGAGUUUAAACAUUGCGCAUGCUGUUGGGUCCUGAAAGCAACGAACGUGACCGCAACGUCUUAUUGCCUUUAUCUUGCUAUAUUUUAAUUUAAUUAAAAAUAGCUAACAGAGGCUAAUUUAAAAUUAGACGGACCGCUGUACUUUUCUUAAACCAGAGGAAGGUUGCGGCAAUAACAGGUCUGUGAUGCCCUUAGAUGUUCCGGGCUGCACACGUGCUACAAUGAUCAGUACAGUGAGCAUCUCAAUAUUAUACACCGUAUUAAGCGCUUAGUUGCGAUUAUUGGCUCAUUAUUGGGUCUUUUAAUUGUAUUUCUAAUGCGCGCGGUAAAGCCUGCUUCGAGAGUAAGUGGGUAAUCCAUUGGAAGUAAUGAUUUCUCUUUUUAUAGCACACCUAUAUACGGCAUUCAUUCCCGGGACGACUAGUUUCGUCUUUUUUGUGCGAAUGUAAUGUAUUCUUUAUCCGUAUGUGCGAUUGUCA